GCGAUCAGUAACUUGCGCGGUGAGUUGUAUGUAGGCCAACGGCUGUUCUGGCAUUCACUAUAUCGUUUCACUCUUAAUUCAGAAAUGGGAGAAAUUUAUCGGCAUGUUUUAUGCAGCAGGUGAAACACGUUUGCUGUAUUUGGAAUUCUGUGUAUAUAUAAAUUCUAUGACGCAUAAUUUUCAAAGCUUCGAAAAUUCUCAACCGUUUUUAACCAAAUUCUGUCAUUCUUGGUAAUUAUCAACGAUUUUAAAAAUUCUUAACCAAAAGAAUGAAAUGGAGCAUACGAAAAAGCAUCACAUGAUGACGAUAUUGUGGUUAUGAAUGUACGGUGACUAAGUGAGUAUUUAAACAAAUACAUUGCAUCGAUGAGACAUCAACACUUCACUCGCUUUGCAAUAUGUAUGGCUACAGGUCCAGUUGACCAUCAGUGCCAAAAUGGGAAUCAAAACUUUGAUCUUCAGCUUCUUGGUGUUAACGGCUCACAUAUGUUCCUGUGCCGAGUUGAAAUUCCGGAUUCCCUUGGAAGUGGCAUCUUCCGGUGAGGGUAUCUACCGGGUCUCUUAUGGCCUAUCCAACGGAUUCCCUGCCUCAAACUUCACUGUCGAUUCAUCCCUCAUCAAUCAACUCAUCACCAUCAACGACGUCCUUCCAGGCACAGAAUACGCAUUCCAUUUAUAUUUCUCCAAUGCCACUGUACAGAACGAGCUCGUGUGGUCCUCAAAUCUGCCAACAACUCCUGAUCCCCCUGUGAACUUAACAGUCACCGUUUUAGGUGGCAAAGGCGCCCAAGCUUCUUGGGAAGCUCCAGUGCAGGGUGGAUACACUGGAUUCAAGCUUAUUCUGGUUCCUCUGUCUGAAAAAGACGACAACACAGUUCGAAACCAUUACAUCACGCAGACUUCAUUUAGAGGCAACUUUUUCCUUCCUGAUUUGACCCCAGGCGCAUCCUACGAGGUUCAGCUCUACUCCGUGUUCCAAGGACAAGAUUCUGCAGUGUUUGUCGCGACCAAUUUUACUACAAAACCAAAUACACCAGGACGGUUCAUCGUCUGGUUCCGGAACGAAACUACUCUCCUAGUUCUGUGGCAGCCUCCCUAUCCUUCGGGAAUCUUCGACAAAUAUCGUGUGAGUAUUGCUCCGAAAGAUGCAUUGGAAUCGGAAUUGCUGGUGGACAAAGAGCGAGACCCACCAGGACCUGCCCAAGCUGCUUUCUAUGGUUUGGUGCCAGGCCGUAACUACAACAUUUCCGUCCAAACUGUUAGUCAAAAUCAGAUCAGCGAACCAACUAAAGCACAGUACAGAACAGUUCCUUUGCCACCAACAAAUGUUACAUAUGACACUAACAGGCUGGCUUCUUUUUCGUUCGACGUCCGAUGGGAUCCUCCUAAUAACUUAUCCGAGUUCGAUCGCUACCAAGUCGCCCUUGGCAUUCGCAAUACAGUCCGAUACCUAAUCAAUAAAGAGGAAGAAAGAGUUGUCACGUUUGAUGAGGAUUUAGAACCAGGUUUGACAUACGAGGUGGUCGUCAAAACUGUCAGCGGCAAUGUAGCCAGUUGGCCAGUCACGGCUAACGUUACGACAAGGCCAUUGCCGGUAAGGAUACUGAGUUCUUUGUCUGAGAACGUUGGAGAAAUAUUUCUUAAAUGGGAACCGAGCAAAAACAGUACUCAGGAUUCAUACAGGAUUAAAUACAGUGAUAUGGAAGCCUUCAAUAGUGGUGGUAGUCUCUUAGUAGUACAGAAUACAAGCAUAAACCUGACGUCUUUGUUACCAGGACGAAACUAUUCCAUCAGUGUGUCUGCUAUUAGCAAGAGGAUAUCAAGCGAAAACACUGUAAUUUACCAGGCAACAAAACCUUCAUCGCCGGUCAUCGAGUUGCUGCAGCCUGCUAUAGCCGGCGGCUGGAAUCUUACGUGGAAAUCUGACGUAACCAGUCGUCAGGAUCAAUAUUCAGUGAUGUACAUACGGAAUGAUACACGGUAUCUGCAGGAGAAAUUAACCAAGAACAACUGGGUUGUCAUUUCUGACCUAUAUCCUGGUGCGGGAUAUGAAAUUAAAGUUUAUGCCAUCAGUUUCGGAAUGUGGAGCGAGCCACAUUCUUAUUUCCAAACUAUACCACCACUGAAACCUAAAGGAUUGCAAGUGGUAAAAGCGAGUAGUACGAAUAUGAUUGUUUUGUGGAGUCCGCCAUCCGGCUCUUUGUACGACCAUUUCAGUGUGAGAUACCAGCCGGUCGGAUCAGCCUUUUGGAGAGAAAUGGGAACUGUGAAUACUACAUCAUGUGAAAUUAAGGACCUGGUCCCUGGAGAGAGGUAUGCUGUCCAAGUAACAACAAUGAGCAAGAAAGUUGAAAGUUUGGAAGCUGAAGAAAUUCAGCAAGCCAUGUAUCCUAAACCUAUCAGGAAAGUAAAAGAAGCUCUCGACUCGUACAACAUCACGUUCGAGUGGGAGGUGCCUCAAGGACACAGAGACUAUUAUAUUAUUAUUUACAAUCCCAUCGAUGAACCUCCGAAUCAGAAAUCGCUGCAGGUAGCUGCAAAUGAUACGAAACCGUUAGAGAAGAUGGACGUUAUUAUAGACGAACUGAAACCAGGAGAAUUGUAUUCCUUCCGUUUCUAUGCUGUCAGUCACAAUCUCAGAAGCGAAGGCAUUACAGUGCAAACUAGAACAAAGCCUGUGAUUGAUUCUGUGAUAAAUAUUGUGACCCGUGAACAGGAGACAAAAACUUUAGGGAUCAAAUACACACCGACACCGAGACGAAGCGUGGUAUUUGAUCGAUACCGGUUUCAACUGAGUGAUUCUUCUGUGCCGGCCCAAGAAAAACUUUUCAACGAUACAAAUCGUCUGGUCUUGUUCGACAACCUGGUACCUGGUCGCCUAUAUGAUAUCAGUAUAUGGACCGUGAGUGGCGGUGUAAGCAGCGUGCCCAUUCAUAGGCAAACAAGAUUGUAUCCAGAGCCAAUUACGGAGAUUGUUGCUAUUCACAUCACCGACACUGAAAUUUCCAUGAAAUGGGACAGACCUCCUGGAGAAAUGGAUGGUUACGAAAUAGAGUACCAGGACCCGAUGGGCCAUCUGGUAAAGAAUAUCAGCUUCAGCGAAACUAACACUUUCAGGAACCUUAAACCUCACCAUAAUUAUACGUUCCUUGUGUCUGUUCUGAGUGGUUAUGAUACUGAUACUAUUCGUCGUAGCAGACCUCUUUCAAAAACUUUCCAAACGCUUGAAUCUGUACCAGGACGAGUCCAUUUUUUCCGUGCCGUAGACGUUAAACCGAGUGAAAUUACUCUACAGUGGUCUUUACCAAGCAACGAACAAAACGGAGUUCUUAGAGGUUUUAAAGUCACAUAUUACACAAAGGGCACAACAAAACGAAGGCAUGAGUAUUUUGAACCCACAGAGACUAAAGGUGUUAUCUAUAGCUUACAACCUGGUAUGGAUUACGUUUUUGAGAUUCAAGCGCAUACGAAAGUAGGACCGGGAAGGACAGCAGUUUUUGAAGAAUCUACUCCAAUAUGGCCUCCACCUCCACCGGAGCCAAGUGUCUUUCCGAAGCUGAUGAGUCGAACUUCCAGUUCGAUUAGAGUCGAAUUCAGUAACAACUUCUUUUCAAAUGUGAACGGGAAAAUCAUUGCAUAUAGUCUGAUAGUUGCUGAGGAUGAUACCAAAGACUCUAGUGCCCUUCGCUUACCCACGUGGGGAGAUGUUCAGCAAUACCCAUUAUGGCCUCCUUAUCAGGUCCACGAGCCGUACUAUCCGUUCAACCAUUCCUUCGUAGAAGACUUCACUAUUGGUGCGGAAAACUGCAAUGGUGUAAAGGGCUACUGCAACGGUCCUCUCAAGCCAGCCUCAACCUACAGGGUCAAGAUAAGGGCAUUCACGACUCCUACUGCAUUUACAGACACUGUUUACUCGUACCCUGUCCAAACAGAUGCUGACAAUCGAACGUUGCUGACGGGUAUUCUUGUUCCUCUGUUACUGGUAGUUCUUAUUGUGGGAGUGGCUCUCCUCUGGAGAAGAAGGCGGCUGGCCCCCUUCGCUAAAAAAGCCAAGCAUGCCAAAGCUGAUGCCAUGUCUGUUUCAGAAAGUGAGGUUAUUACUAGCCGGCCAAUCAAGCUCAAAGAUUUCGGCGAACACUACAGAAUUAUGUCUGCCGAUUCCGACUUUAGGUUCUCGGAAGAAUUCGAAUUGCUGAAACAUGUUGGUCGAGAGAAACCGUGCAAUGCUGCUGACCUUCCUGUGAACCGGCCAAAGAAUCGUUUCACCAAUAUUCUGCCUUACGAUCAUUCUAGAAUCAAACUCAUGCCCACAGACGAUGAGGAGGGUACGGAUUACAUCAAUGCCAACUACAUUCCGGGUUAUAAUUCACCUCGAGAAUUCAUCGUGACUCAAGGUCCCUUGCACAGCACCAGAGACGACUUCUGGCGCAUGGUUUGGGAACAGAACUGUCGUGCCAUAGUCAUGCUUACCAGGUGCAUAGAAAAAGGGCGCGAAAAGUGCGACCAUUAUUGGCCGUUCGAUAUGCAGCCCGUCUACUAUGGUGAUAUUCAAGUCAUAUUGCUCAAUGAAUCACAGUACUUACAUUGGACUAUAUCAGAAUUUAAAGUGUCCAGGAAUGAUCAGUCACGUGUUGUGAAACACUUUCACUUUACGACUUGGCCGGAUUUUGGAGUUCCGGAGCCUCCUCAGAUUCUUGUCAAAUUUGUCCGGACAUUCAGAGAGCGAAUAGGAUCUGAUCCUAAACCCAUCGCCGUUCACUGCAGCGCUGGCGUCGGCAGAUCAGGCACUUUCAUUGCUUUGGACAGAAUUCUGCAGCACAUUCAGAAACAUGACUACGUCGAUAUUUUCGGGAUUGUUUAUGAGAUGAGAAAGGAGAGGGUCUGGAUGGUGCAGAACGAGCAACAAUACAUCUGCAUCCACCAAUGUUUGCUGUGUGUUUUGGAAAAGAAGGAAGAAGUCCUUGAGCUUGGCCGGCCCGAAGCCCAUGACAAUCAAGGAUAUGAUGGAUCGCUUCCAUCUUCAGCUAAAACGACAGUCCGUUUAUCCAAUGGACACGUCGAGAACAAAGAGUGAACUUUAUCUUAGAAGAAUGCCGUAUGAUCAGAUUGAAUACUGAGUCAAUAAAAGUUCCUCUUCUUGAUGAUGAAGGUAUUGCUGAAUCCGGGAUAUGAAAGG
Stegodyphus dumicola is the source of this 5176-nucleotide RNA transcript. It is a transcript of the gene named tyrosine-protein phosphatase 10D-like, with no coding region annotated. The record is from RefSeq and is a predicted model, not a curated record. Lineage: Eukaryota; Metazoa; Arthropoda; Arachnida; Araneae; Eresidae.